CCCCAGACUCCUACGGGAGGCAGCAGUGGGGAAUAUUGCACAAUGGGGGAAACCCUGAUGCAGCGACGCCGCGUGAGCGAUGAAGUAUUUCGGUAUGUAAAGCUCUAUCAGCAGGGAAGAAGAUGACGGUACCUGACUAAGAAGCCCCGGCUAACUACGUGCCAGCAGCCGCGGUAAUACGUAGGGGGCAAGCGUUAUCCGGAUUUACUGGGUGUAAAGGGAGCGUAGACGGCGAUGCAAGCCAGAUGUGAAAGCCCGGGGCUCAACCCCGGGACUGCAUUUGGAACUGUGUGGCUGGAGUGUCGGAGAGGCAGGCGGAAUUCCUAGUGUAGCGGUGAAAUGCGUAGAUAUUAGGAGGAACACCAGUGGCGAAGGCGGCCUGCUGGACGAUGACUGACGUUGAGGCUCGAAAGCGUGGGGAGCAAACAGGAUUAGAUACCCGAGUAUUA
Molecule: ribosomal RNA, 449 nt
Filed under: uncultured bacterium
Lineage: Bacteria
Description: bacterial SSU rRNA
Rfam family: Bacterial small subunit ribosomal RNA
Source: RNAcentral